Acinonyx jubatus (cheetah) is the source of this 3354-nucleotide long non-coding RNA. RefSeq lists it as uncharacterized. The record is from RefSeq and is a predicted model, not a curated record. The transcript has 3 exons. NCBI's taxonomy places the organism in Eukaryota, Metazoa, Chordata, Mammalia, Carnivora, Felidae.
CUCGUGUAACCUUCUAAAACUGCCAUGAUUAUCAUUAUGUUAUAGAUGAGGACACUAAGACACACAGACGUUAAGCUGCUGAGGUCACAUGGGCAGCACAUGCCAGAGCCCUACUUUGAGCCCCAAAGGGCCACCUGUCAGAGCCAUCAUCCUCGUGUGUGGCUCAGGGGUGGAGGCAGGCGAGGGGUGGCUUCCUGGAGAAGGGGGGGGGCAUGCGGGCGGGGACAGGAGGGUGGGUGUGGACUAACCCCUAGUUCCCGCGUUUGAGGGUGUGAUUGCAGGCUAAGGGUUUGGGGCAGAAUUAUGGCCCCCCAAAUGUCCAUGUCCUGACCCAACCUGUGAAUACGUUAACUCCCACGUCAAAAGGGACUUGGCCAAUUUGGUCAAGUUAAGGAUCUCAAGAUCAUCCCGGAUUAUCCGGGUGGUCCCAUGUGGUCCCAAGGGUCCUUAUAGGAGGGAGGCAGGAGGGUCUGAGUGAGGGGAGAUGUGACAAGGGACAAAAGUCAGAGAGAGAGCGGAAGCCGUCACACCACCGAUGGAGGAGAGGCCAUGCGCCGAGGAACCCGAGUGGCUUCCGGGGAAGCUGGGAAAGGCAAGGAAAGGGGUUCCCUCUGGAGCCUCCAGGCGGAAUGCAGCUCGGCCAACGCCUUGACUUUCGCCCCGUGGGCCCGCUCUGGACUGCUGGCCUCCAGCGCUGGAAGAGAACACGUGUGUGUUCCAACGGCAGCGGCCGGAGCAGACACGGGGCUCGGGACAGCACCGCCCUUCAGAAAGCCAGAUUCAGUCCUACCUUCCGUCUUCCGGGCCCUGUGAUGGGUCUCGGGGACACAGUGGCCAGGGGGACACCACCCCGGGCCCGCUGAACUAGGGGCCCCUCGAGCCGAGCAGGUUAUCAGUAAGUGGCAGCCGACAGAGCCCGUUCCCAGGCUGCACGCAGGGCCUCUGUUUAUCGGAAAGGGGCUUAUCUGGAUGGUGGGGCCGGGCUCGGCAGGGGCGAGGCGGUGCCCACUGCUGCCCACACGCCCCGCGGGGGGUCCUCACCGCGCCGAGUGGGGGUCUCCACGGGCCUGCGGGGAGGCAUGAGGGGUCAGCACCGGCGCCGACACACAAGUGCCCGAACACCGCCCGGCACGUCCGCGGCUACACUGGCCCCGAACUGGAAAUGACCCGCAGGCCAUCCGCAGGGCGGCUCGGGGGCCGCCUUCUCGCUCGGUGGGGCACCAGAACGGCCCCGAAAACAUCUGCUAAUUCUCAUCAGGCUCACACCGAGCCAGAGAGCACCUCUUGCACGACCCCGCUCAUGCAGUGUUCACAAGGAGGAAACGCCAGUCUGCGUGUUGGACGUCAGGUGGGGCUGCCCGGCCGGGCGUGACUCGGGGCGCUGGGUCUCGGGAGAACUGGUGACAGUCCGCUGAGCGGUGUACUCACGGACAGUGUCUUUUCUGAGUGCGCGGUAUAUUGCGAUGCUCAUGCAAGAAAAAGGAAAAGAAAAGAAACACGUAGAAAAGCAAAGUAAGAAAAUAAAAAUCACCCAUAAUUUCAUCCUCUGGAGACAGGAGCUGUGCUCGCCCUUCAGAUUUAGGUGCCUCGUGACCAGAUAUAUUUUAUUAGUUAGACUCUUUGGUGGCCGGUGGCAGAAGCUGACUCCGGCUAUCUGCACUAAUCACAGCACACUUUGCUGCAUCGGGAAAACUCCCAGACUGCCACAGCUUCACACAGUGCACAUUUAUUUCCUGCUCAGAGGCCCCACACAGCUGCUCCAGCAGGUGGAGGGUGUGGGGGCCGCCUGGUCUCACUCAGCCACCCAGACGCCCAGGCUGAAGGCGGUUCUGGGUCUCGGGUCCCCCGUCCUCACGCGGCCACGGGCAGAGGAAGACAGCUGGUGCAGGAGGGGUCUCCGGGCGUGGCGUCCAGACCAUCCCUUUGCUCUCCGUUAGCCAAAUUCGGACCCGUGGCCACCUGCCAGGAGGCUGAGGCUCCAGCUUUGAGGGCCAGCGUCCCUCAAGGUGCCCUGGGAGCCACGGAGCGGGAGGCGGUGAAAGGGCAGCCGUCUGUAGCCAGGGAGACCGGCCACUGCAGCUGCCAGGGACCCUUCCCAGGCUCUGGGCCCCUCCCGCAGGGUUCAGCGUCGCAGACGAGAGCGCUGGCGGUCAAGCCCGAAUCCUACCAUGUCCCUGGCCUUCCAGUAACCCCGGUGCAGGGGGGAAGGCUCUGCCCUCUGCCGGGGUCGCCCCACUCUCUCUCCAGGGAGAGACCACUCUCUGAAGGGCUACUGGGACAGGAGAUCGGUGCUGGACACUCAAAUAACCGUCUUUCAUAUUGUGCACUUCCCUGCGCUGCGUUGCUGGGCCCGGACCCUGUCCUUUGGCCGGUCCCACUCCCCCUGGGCCUCCCCCCACCAUCCCAGAGGCCACAGCCGCCCCAGGGUUUCUACAGGAUGGAGGGACGUCAAGGCCAAUCCGGUCAGUGGAACUGCCCACAGGCCUCAUGGAAAGUAGCCACAUGGAGUCCAAGGUGGCUCAGCUUGGGCCAUGUGUCACCAAAGUUUCCGUGUUACGCCCCCCUGUAAACAAGAAGACGUCCCCAGUCCUCCCGUUGCCACAACGGUGACCAGCCCACAGAAAGCAGCGGGAGGGGAAGGGAAGGAGGGCCACAAAGGUAGAAUUCACCUCUCAUUCCCAGUCUGGAGGGAAAUGCCGACUGAAGCCUUGAGCCGUGACUCCCUUCACGAGAUGUGACUCCAGUGGACAAGACCGGUGACAGCUGGUGUCGGGGAGGCCGCAGAGCCGCUGGAACUCCCUCACGCUCAUGGCGGGGCUGUGCGAUGGCCGCUGAACAAUUAUUCCGUGAGUGGCUGGUGUGAGCUCUUCUGUGACCCUGCGGCGCCCUUGCAGGCAUUUGCUGAUGAGCAGAGAAGCCCUGUGUUCACACGAAGAUUGCACGCGGCUUUGUUCUGACAGGGGGGAGCCGGGAACGAUGGCAGGUCCCUCAUCAGGAUCAGGGACGAACAAACUGCCGUCUGCUCGCACGACAGAACACCUCUCGUCAACGCAAAGGAACCACUGCCCCCCACACAGCCACGGACAGACCUCAGAAACACGGUGAGCAAAAGCAGCCGGGCCGAAGAGACGCAUUCGCGGGGGUCCACCAGAUGUGGGUUCAAGGCAGGCAGACCCUCCCCAUGGGGUCGGAGCUCAGGAGGAGCAAACUCGUGGGCGAUGGAAAUGCUCUCCGUCUUGACGUGGGUGGUGGUCACCUGGGUACAUGUGCCAGGGGUCAUCGAGCCGUCCGCUUGUGCUGUGCCUUUGACCUCAUGUGAUUUAUAUUCUAAUAAAGUACCGUGAAAAUCUGUGA